CAGUCGCCGCGGUAAUACGUAGGUGGCAAGCGUUGUCCGGAAUUAUUGGGCGUAAAGCGCGCGCAGGCGGCUUCCCAAGUCCCUCUUAAAAGUGCGGGGCUUAACCCCGUGAUGGGAAGGAAACUGGGAAGCUGGAGCAUCGGAGAGGAAAGUGGAAUUCCUAGUGUAGCGGUGAAAUGCGCAGAGAUUAGGAAGAACACCGGUGGCGAAGGCGACUUUCUGGACGAAAACUGACGCUGAGGCGCGAAAGCGUGGGGAGCAAACAGGAUUAGAUACCCCCGUAGUCCCUGUCUCUUAUACA
Molecule: ribosomal RNA, 301 nt
Filed under: uncultured bacterium
Lineage: Bacteria
Description: partial 16S ribosomal RNA
Rfam family: Bacterial small subunit ribosomal RNA
Source: RNAcentral